UUUAAAACUUGUGCAAGUCUACAUUUAGGCGCAUCAGCUUGCUGCUCGAAUUCCUAUGAAAAUGGAAAAUUCCGUCCAGAAAUUGCGCAGUAGAGAAAAAUUUGAACUGAUUAAAGAGCUAAAUUCUCAAUAAUCCGUUUUCCAAUCCGCGUAUACUUUGUAAGCUCUCAGUACAUGAUCGUAUGGGAAAUUGCGUCGUAAGCUGAAAUAACUAAUCAAUCCAAACGCGAUCGACCCUCAUUUCUGGUGGAGUUCUCAACUAGUAAAGUUCAUAAAAAUCAAAAGUGGUGAAUAUUACUCUAUCGAUAUUUUUAUCGAUAAGUCGAGCAGUUUUAAAAUUAAACUCGAAUUCUUUUUUUGAGUUCUAUUAGAUUUUUUCUAGUGAAAUGGAUCAAAGUCUACACUGUGCCUUUGUGUAAGACUUGAAUAAGGCCAAGCCCAACCAACGAGGGCGGUUAGUGUGGGCCGCGUCGGACUAGUGUUGGCCAGUUCCUGUCCGCAUCGGCCAUCGUGGGUCAUUUUGGAUCCGUUUCGCCCGGUUAAGAGUCGGUCUGAAGUUCGUCUGUGAAGACCGAGGACGCUGGGAGACCAAACCCACCGUUCGACCACGUGGGCAACCGUGAAAUUGGACUCAGGCCUCCAGGACGCCCUUCGAGCCACCGCCAAACUACGUUUGGGUUUUUUUCGAACUGCUCGAUCACAAGUCGAGUCCCACAAGCAAGGUGCUUGAGUGUCCAUUUCUGGUAAGUUGCCGAAUCGGAUUCCCGUCUAGUCAAGCCUGUGCGAUAAGAGCCUCGUCAACUGGCUCGGUACUCCACCGUUUCCGGGGACAUAUCUACCCCGACGAUUUCGCACACCCGGGACUGAUUCGACCUUCGGAAUCCGCCUCGCACCUCAGAAUCGGUACUCGACGUGGGAUUAGCUGUGGUGAGUAGACUGCCAGCUCGUAGCUACGUUGUACUUCGAGGGACCUAGGCCCGCCGAACAAGGUCAGACCUUUUUUUAUUGUGCACGAAGAAUAUUUUCCCUAAGGGAAGCUUACCUAAAAUAGAAUAUCCAAUUAGAUCCUUUGGUGACGUCACAAAUAGAAAUGCGCAAUACUCAAUAAAGUCAAAUAGCUUUGAUCAUUAGUUGAACCUUGUAAAACUCAAAACAAGACUGCUUUUCUAGUUUUCAAUAAAAUUUCGUAAAUUGAUUAUCAUUUCCUACUUCUAGUUUAGUUGAACUGUUUCUUUUUUCCGCGCGCUAAGUUUUGUGACCCAUAUUGAGUUGAUUUUUAGUUUAGCCGAGACACACUCCUUGAUCGAUCGUGUGAUUGAGGCGUAUUGAGUUAGUGUGGUUUGAAAUUGGAUUGAUUUAGCUUCGGUUGGUUCGUUCAAAUUGUAGUUUUAGCAUUCUGGAAAUACUAUAACCUGCCCUGAGGCAAGUAAUCUCAUGCCGGGAUUGGAUCUCAGCCUACGGCCCUUCUAAUUUAGAAGGUGGCGCUUAAGCCGCAGACUGUUGUAACAGACUAAAACGUUACACAGGGCAAAGUGCUUGCAGGUGCAGUCGAGCAAGGUCCAUGUCUUGUGUCCGUAGAGGAUAACCGGUCUCAUUAGCGUUUUGUACAUGGUUCAUUUGGUGUGAGGGUGAAUCUUUUUCGACCACAGUUUCUUCUGGAGCCCGUAGUAGGCCCGACUUCCAUCUGGAUUUACGCAUGAUGCGUCUAAAACAAUAAUUGAACAAUGCCUAUCCCUAGUGACUCUGCGCGAUUACAAUACUCACCAAGACCGGCGCCAAAAGUUACAGUCCCAAACCAAAUUAGAACAAGCUG
Long non-coding RNA from Aedes albopictus (Asian tiger mosquito), 1813 nucleotides. RefSeq lists it as uncharacterized. The record is from RefSeq and is a predicted model, not a curated record. The transcript is spliced from 3 exons. NCBI's taxonomy places the organism in Eukaryota, Metazoa, Arthropoda, Insecta, Diptera, Culicidae.